GGGGGGAGCAAGCGUUGUUCGGAUUUACUGGGCGUAAAGGGCGCGUAGGCGGCCACCGCAAGUCAGUUGUGAAAUCUCUGGGCUUAACCCAGAAAGGUCAACUGACACUGCGGGGCUAGAGUGCAGAAGGGGCAACUGGAAUUCUCGGUGUAGCGGUGAAAUGCGUAGAUAUCGAGAGGAACACCUGCGGCGAAGGCGGGUUGCUGGGCUGACACUGACGCUGAUGCGCGAAAGCUAGGGGAGCGAACGGGAUUAGAUACCCCGGUAGUCCUAGCCUUAAACGAUGAAUGCUUGGUGUCUGGGGUUUUAUAGUCCCCGGGUGCCGUCGCUAACGCUUUAAGCAUUCCGCCUGGGGAGUACGGUCGCAAGACUG
RNAcentral lists this ribosomal RNA (373 nucleotides) under uncultured bacterium. RNAcentral's name for it is "bacterial SSU rRNA". It matches the Rfam family "Bacterial small subunit ribosomal RNA", at positions 527 to 896 of the family's 1533-position model. The record is from RNAcentral.